This 497-nucleotide ribosomal RNA is filed under the name uncultured bacterium. RNAcentral's name for it is "partial 16S ribosomal RNA". It matches the Rfam family "Bacterial small subunit ribosomal RNA", at positions 28 to 507 of the family's 1533-position model. The record is from RNAcentral.
GAUGAACGCUGGCGGCGUGCCUAAUACAUGCAAGUCGAGCGAACAGACGAGGAGCUUGCUCCUCUGACGUUAGCGGCGGACGGGUGAGUAACACGUGGAUAACCUACCUAUAAGACUGGGAUAACUUCGGGAAACCGGAGCUAAUACCGGAUAAUAUAUUGAACCGCAUGGUUCAAUAGUGAAAGACGGUUUUGCUGUCACUUAUAGCUGGAUCCGCGCCGCAUUAGCUAGUUGGUAAGGUAACGGCUUACCAAGGCAACGCUGCGUAGCCGACCUGAGAGGGUGAUCGGCCACACUGGAACUGAGACACGGUCCAGACUCCUACGGGAGGCAGCAGUAGGGAAUCUUGCGCAAUGGGCGAAAGCCUGACGGAGCAACGCCGCGUGAGUGAUGAAGGUCUUCGGAUCGUAAAACUCUGUUAUUAGGGAGGAACAAAUGUGUAAGUAACUAUGCACGCCUUGACGGUACCUAAUCAAAAAGCCACGGCUAACUACGUG